RNAcentral lists this ribosomal RNA (501 nucleotides) under uncultured bacterium. Its description in RNAcentral is "bacterial SSU rRNA". It matches the Rfam family "Bacterial small subunit ribosomal RNA", at positions 791 to 1299 of the family's 1533-position model. The record is from RNAcentral.
UAGUCCACGCCGUAAACGAUGAUCACUCGACAUUAGCGAUAAACUGUUAGUGUCCAAGCGAAAGUAUUAAGUGAUCCACCUGGGGAGUACGCCGGCAACGGUGAAACUCAAAGGAAUUGACGGGGGCCCGCACAAGCGGUGGAGCAUGUGGUUUAAUUCGAUGAUACGCGAGGAACCUUACCAGGGCUUAAAUGCAGAACGACAGACUUGGAAACGAGUUCUUCUUCGGACGGAUUGCAAGGUGCUGCAUGGUUGUCGUCAGCUCGUGCCGUGAGGUGUUGGGUUAAGUCCCGUAACGAGCGCAACCCCUAUCUUUAGUUGCCAGCGGAUAAUGCCGGGGACUCUAAAGAAACUGCCAGCGCAAGCUGUGAGGAAGGUGGGGAUGAUGUCAAAUCAUCACGGCCCUUACGUCCUGGGCUACACACGUGCUACAAUGGUGAAUACAGAGGGCAGCUACCUGGUGACAGGAUGCAAUCUCCAAAGUUCAUCUCAGUUCGGAUU